CGGUCCAGACUCCUACGGGAGGCAGCAGUGGGGAAUAUUGCACAAUGGGCGCAAGCCUGAUGCAGCCAUGCCGCGUGUGUGAAGAAGGCCUUCGGGUUGUAAAGCACUUUCAGUCGUGAGGAAGGUAGUAUAGUUAAUAGCAGUAUCAUUUGACGUUAGCGACAGAAGAAGCACCGGCUAACUCCGUGCCAGCAGCCGCGGUAAUACGGAGGGUGCGAGCGUUAAUCGGAAUUACUGGGCGUAAAGCGCAUGCAGGUGGUUUGUUAAGUCAGAUGUGAAAGCCCGGGGCUCAACCUCGGAAUAGCAUUUGAAACUGGCAGACUAGAGUACUGUAGAGGGGGGUAGAAUUUCAGGUGUAGCGGUGAAAUGCGUAGAGAUCUGAAGGAAUACCGGUGGCGAAGGCGGCCCCCUGGACAGAUACUGACACUCAGAUGCGAAAGCGUGGGGAGCAAACAGGAUUAGAUACCCUGGUAGUCCACGCCGUAAACGAUGUCUACUUGGAGGUUGUGGCCUUGAGCCGUGGCUUUCGGAGCUAACGCGUUAAGUAGACCGCCUGGGGAGUACGGUCGCAAGAUUAAAACUCAAAUGAAUUGACGGGGGCCCGCACAAGCGGUGGAGCAUGUGGUUUAAUUCGAUGCAACGCGAAGAACCUUACCUACUCUUGACAUCCAGAGAACUUUCCAGAGAUGGAUUGGUGCCUUCGGGAACUCUGAGACAGGUGCUGCA
Molecule: ribosomal RNA, 726 nt
Filed under: Vibrio sp.
Lineage: Bacteria; Pseudomonadati; Pseudomonadota; Gammaproteobacteria; Vibrionales; Vibrionaceae
Description: bacterial SSU rRNA
Rfam family: Bacterial small subunit ribosomal RNA
Source: RNAcentral